AGCAAGGUGUACAGUCAUACACACGGGCAAGUAGUCUCUUCUUUGUUGCAACAAAACCAGUUCAGUUUUACAGAGCAGUUGAAAAUGGGACUGUGCAACUGUUUUUCAUUUCUUCUUCUUAUUGUGGCUUCUGUUGUUGUGACCGCAGAAUACCUAACAUCACCAAGAGUAGGAAUUGCUAGGGGAAAGAAAACGGCGGACAAUGAUAUCUUCCUUGCCGUCGCCAUGGCUGACCAAAGCGC
Long non-coding RNA from Physella acuta, 242 nucleotides. RefSeq lists it as uncharacterized. The record is from RefSeq and is a predicted model, not a curated record. NCBI's taxonomy places the organism in Eukaryota, Metazoa, Mollusca, Gastropoda, Physidae.